GUUUGAUCCUUGGCUCAGGAUGAACGCUGGCGGUAUGCUUAACACAUGCAAGUCGAACGAAACCUUUCGGGGUUUAGUGGCGGACGGGUGAGUAACGCGUGAGAAUCUGGCUUCAGGUCUGGGACAACCACUGGAAACGGUGGCUAAUAUCGGAUGUGCCGAGAGGUGAAAGGUUAACUGCCUGAAGAUGAGCUCGCGUCUGAUUAGCUAGUUGGCAGUGUAAUGGACUACCAAGGCGACGAUCAGUAGCUGGUCUGAGAGGACGAUCAGCCGCACUGGGACUGAGACACGGCCCAGACUCCUACGGGAGGCAGCAGUGGGGAAUUUUCCGCAAUGGGCGAAAGCCUGACGGAGCAAUACCGCGUGAGGGAGGAAGGCUCUUGGGUCGUAAACCUCUUUUCUCAGGGAAGAACACAAUGACGGUACCUGAGGAAUAAGCAUCGGCUAACUCCGUGCCAGCAGCCGCGGUAAUACGGAGGAUGCAAGCGUUAUCCGGAAUGAUUGGGCGUAAAGCGUCCGCAGGUGGCGAUGUAGGUCUGCUGUUAAAGCGUCUAGCUCAACUAGAUAAGAGCAGUGGAAACUACUUACGCUAGAGUGCGUUCGGGGCAGAGGGAAUUGCAGGUGUAGCGGUGAAAUGCGUAGAUAUCUGCAGGAACACCCGUGGCGAAAGCGGCGCGCUGGACCACUACUGACGCUGAGGAACGAAAGCUAGGGGAGCAAACAGGAUUAGAUACCCUGGUAGUCCUAGCCCUAAACGAUCAGGACUUGGGGUGCCACCCGUUCGGGUGUCGUCCCGGAGCUAACGCGUUAAGUCCUGCACCUGGGGAGUACGGUCGCAAGACUGAAACUCAAAGGAAUUGACGGGGGCCCGCACAAGCGGUGGAACAUGUGGUUCAAUUCGACGCUACGCGAGGAACCUUACCUGGGCUCGAAGCGCACUUGACUAGCUGUAGAAAUACGGCCUUCCCGCAAGGGACAAGUGUGGAGGCGCUGCAUGGCUGUCGUCAGCUCGUGCCGUGAGGUGUUGGGUUAAGUCCCGCAACGAGCGCAACCCCUGCACGCAGUUGCCACUCCGCAAGGAGGGAACUCUACGUGGACUGCUCCGGAUAACGGAGAGGAAGGUGGGGAUGACGUCAAGUCCGCAUGGCCUUUAUGUCCAGGGCUACACACGUGUUACAAUGCAGGGCACAAACCGUUGCCAACCCGCGAGGGGGAGCUAAUCGGAAAAAACUCUGCUCAGUUCGGAUUGCAGUCUGCAACUCGACUGCAUGAAGCCGGAAUCGCUAGUAAUGGCGUAUCAGAUCGACGCCGUGAAUUCGUUCCCGGGCCUUGCACACACCGCCCGUC
Molecule: ribosomal RNA, 1347 nt
Filed under: uncultured bacterium
Lineage: Bacteria
Description: partial 16S ribosomal RNA
Rfam family: Bacterial small subunit ribosomal RNA
Source: RNAcentral